This 49-nucleotide transfer RNA is filed under the name Oscillibacter sp. RNAcentral's name for it is "tRNA-Leu". Lineage: Bacteria; Bacillati; Bacillota; Clostridia; Eubacteriales; Oscillospiraceae. The record is from RNAcentral.
ACGCCUCCUAAGCGUGGGGUCGGGAGUUCAAAUCUCUUCUGGGACGCCA